CCUACGGGAGGCAGCAGUGAGGAAUAUUGGUCAAUGGGCGUAAGCCUGAACCAGCCAAGUCGCGUGAGGGAUGAAGGUUCUAUGGAUCGUAAACCUCUUUUAUAAGGGAAUAAAGUGCGGGACGUGUCCCGUGUUGUAUGUACCUUAUGAAUAAGGAUCGGCUAACUCCGUGCCAGCAGCCGCGGUAAUACGGAGGAUCCGAGCGUUAUCCGGAUUGAUUGGGUUUAAAGGGUGCGUAGGCGGCCUUUUAAGUCAGCGGUGAAAGUCUGUGGCUCAACCAUAGAAUUGCCGUUGAAACUGGGAGGCUUGAGUAUGUUUGAGGCAGGCGGAAUGCUUGGUGUAGCGGUGAAAUGCUUAGAUAUCACGCAGAACCCCGAUUGCGAAGGCAGCCUGCCAAGCCAUGACUGACGCUGAUGCACGAAAGCGUGGGGAUCAAACAGGAUUAGAUACCCCUGUAGUC
RNAcentral lists this ribosomal RNA (460 nucleotides) under uncultured bacterium. RNAcentral describes it as "partial 16S ribosomal RNA". It matches the Rfam family "Bacterial small subunit ribosomal RNA", at positions 338 to 795 of the family's 1533-position model. The record is from RNAcentral.